RNAcentral lists this ribosomal RNA (274 nucleotides) under uncultured bacterium. RNAcentral describes it as "partial 16S ribosomal RNA". It matches the Rfam family "Bacterial small subunit ribosomal RNA", at positions 523 to 796 of the family's 1533-position model. The record is from RNAcentral.
AUACGGAGGGUGCAAGCAUUAAUCGGAAUUAUUGGGCGUAAAGGGCGCGUAGGCGGAUUUGCAAGUCAGAUGUGAAAUACCGAGGCUUAACCUCGGUGCUGCAUUUGAAACUGCAAACCUUGAGGAUAGACGGAGAAAGCGGAAUUCCACAUGUAGCGGUGAAAUGCGUGGAUAUGUGGAAGAACACCUGUGGCGAAAGCGGCUUUCUAGUUUAUUCCUGACGCUGAGGCGCGAAAGCAAGGGGAGCAAACAGGAUUAGAAACCCCAGUAGUCC